UGACCAGCGGAGGGAUCAUUACUGAGUUUACGCUCUACAACCCUUUGUGAACAUACCUAUAACUGUUGCUUCGGCGGGUAGGGUCUCCGCGACCCUCCCGGCCUCCCGCCUCCGGGCGGGUCGGCGCCCGCCGGAGGAUAACCAAACUCUGAUUUAACGACGUUUCUUCUGAGUGGUACAAGCAAAUAAUCAAAACUUUUAACAACGGAUCUCUUGGUUCUGGCAUCGAUGAAGAACGCAGCGAAAUGCGAUAAGUAAUGUGAAUUGCAGAAUUCAGUGAAUCAUCGAAUCUUUGAACGCACAUUGCGCCCGCCAGCAUUCUGGCGGGCAUGCCUGUUCGAGCGUCAUUUCAACCCUCAAGCUCUGCUUGGUGUUGGGGCCCUACAGCCGAUGUAGGCCCUCAAAGGUAGUGGCGGACCCUCCCGGAGCCUCCUUUGCGUAGUAACUUUACGUCUCGCACUGGGAUCCGGAGGGACUCUUGCCGUAAAACCCCCCAAUUUUCCAAAGGUUGACCUCGGAUCAGGUAGGAAUACCCGCUGAACUUAAGCAUAUCAAUAAGCGGAGGAA
This 567-nucleotide ribosomal RNA is filed under the name Colletotrichum gloeosporioides. RNAcentral describes it as "eukaryotic LSU rRNA". The stretch from base 194 to 347 matches the Rfam family "5.8S ribosomal RNA". Lineage: Eukaryota; Fungi; Ascomycota; Sordariomycetes; Glomerellales; Glomerellaceae. The record is from RNAcentral.